Molecule: ribosomal RNA, 381 nt
Filed under: uncultured eukaryote
Lineage: Eukaryota
Description: partial 18S ribosomal RNA
Rfam family: Eukaryotic small subunit ribosomal RNA
Source: RNAcentral
CAAUAGCGUAUAUUAAAGCUGUUGCGGUUAAAAAGCUCGUAGUUGGAUUUCUGUCAAGGACAACUGGUCCGCCCUCCGGGUGAGCACAUAGUUUGGUCUUGGCAUCUUGCUGGAAACUGUUGCUGCGCUUGGUUGUGUGGUGCAGCUUUCAGCACUUUCACUUUGGGGAAAUUGGAGUGUUUCAAGCAGGCACAUGCCUUUGGACACAGUAGCAUGGAAUAAUUAGAUUGGGCUUUUGCUCCAACUUGUUGGUUCCUGGAGCUGAGGUGAGAAUCAAUGGGGAUUGUUGGGGGCAUCCGAAUUUAGCCGUCAGAGGUGAAAUUCUUGGAUCUGCUAAAGACGGACAACUGCGAAAGCGUUUGCCCAGGAUGUUUCCAUUGA